RNAcentral lists this ribosomal RNA (361 nucleotides) under uncultured Glomeromycotina. RNAcentral describes it as "eukaryotic LSU rRNA". The record is from RNAcentral. Lineage: Eukaryota; Fungi; Glomeromycota.
AAGGGAAACGAUUGAAGUCAGUCGUACUAACGGGGAAUCAACCUUCUGAGGGUGGAAUUAUGGGAUUCGAAGUGCCUUUGUUUUUCACAACCUGCUUUUUUUGGGUGUACUUUCCCGUAUUGUAGGUCAGCAUCGGUUUCGACCGUUAUAAAAUGACUGGAGGAAUGUAGCUCCGAUCUCGUAUUGAAGUGUUAUAGCCUUUGGUAGAUGUAACGGAUGGGAUCGAGGAUUGCAAUGAAUACCCUCAUGGGCUAUCCGCCUGGCCUCUGACAUGUCACUCUGGUGCCGAAAGCUUGCUUAUGGUAUCGUAGUGUACGGUCAAAAGGUUAGAACGGAAUAGAUUCGUUAAGGAUGUUGACGU